Molecule: transfer RNA, 74 nt
Organism: Ipomoea nil (Japanese morning glory)
Lineage: Eukaryota; Viridiplantae; Streptophyta; Magnoliopsida; Solanales; Convolvulaceae
Rfam family: tRNA
About the family: Transfer RNA (tRNA) molecules are approximately 80 nucleotides in length.
Source: Rfam
GCUGGAAUAGCUCAGUUGGUUAGAGCGUGUAGCUGUUAACUACAAAGUCAGAGGUUUAAGCCCUCUUUCUAGCG